This 394-nucleotide long non-coding RNA is filed under the name Brachypodium distachyon (stiff brome). RNAcentral describes it as "long non-coding RNA (BDIS_LNC001977)". Lineage: Eukaryota; Viridiplantae; Streptophyta; Magnoliopsida; Poales; Poaceae. The record is from RNAcentral.
GAACUCGUCCUCGUCCCAGAAAUCGAGGGACGGAGUGGGAUUCGGAGGCGUGGGUGUGGGGCUGGGGUUAAGAUUAGGGUUUGCGGCAGUGGUAGUGGUCACGGGAGGAGAAGGAGCGGCGGUGGAGAGGGAGAUGCGCGGAGGAGGCGGGAGGUCAACUUCGAGGUCGAGUUCCUCGUCGUCAUCGGCGGAGGAUGCGAGGUCGGCGGCAGAGGCGGAGGGGAGCUCGUCGGAGUCGAACCCCUCGAACUGGGCGGCGAGAGAGAGGGAGAGGUGGAGGGCGAGUAGGAGCAGGAUGAGAGUGGCGCGUGGGAGCCGGAUCCAGCUCGCCGCCGCCAUGGAUGAGGAGGCGGAAGGAGAGAUCCCCUCCUUUUCCGGGUAGGUGGUACGGAGA